CUCAGCCCGUCCCUUUCUCCACACUGUUACCGGGAGGGCACUGAAGACUCUUGCCCACUGCUCUCCAGGAGGACGGAGCGGCUGCAAUGGGAACAGAGAGGGAAGGUGCAGUGAUGCAGCUGGCUUCUGCUGGAGGUUGUGAGCAAGAAAUGCCAGAAGCUGCCCAACAGCGUGAAGCUCUCUGUUCUGGUAAGCGCAGUGUGGGUGCUUCCUGGCAGGUGGUGGAACCCCCCAGUGCUCCCAAGCCAGUUCUCUGUUCCCUGGGCUCUGCUCAGCACUUGAGCCCCUGUUUGUCCCCCAGCUCUUGGCUGAAGCUGAGGCUUCCCAGGGUGGUGCUGCUUGGCUGGGGGCUGCCCUCUGAAAGUGCGUACAUUCUCCCUCAGGUGGGGUGCAACACCCAGAGCCCAAUCCCCUCCAGCCUGCUUCCAGGGGUGCAAAGAGGAGCGGUACAUCUCUGGAGAAGCCGCUGGGAGGACGAAGGCAACAACGGACGUUAAAGAAGAGCUUCCUGCAGAGGAAAAAAGAAAGGAGGUCCACUGUCUCCUGCAUAGCUGACGUGGCCUUGGUGCAAUGUAGGGUCUGUCUCUGCUCUCGUCUUCAUGCCCAUGUUCUGUCUGACGGCCAGGUAUCCGAGGCUGAGCUUCUGGCUGGCACUGCGCUUUGUCUCAAGGAUCUCCUCUUUCACAAGCUCCCUCGGUUCCAUUUUCUCAUUUCUAGGUUUAAAGAAGUAUAAGCACAAGUUAUUUGCUAGCAACUUCUGUCUGCUGCGGUUCUGCUUGUUUCUUUCAGCCCGCCCCUCCCGUAUUGGUUUUCUUUCAGCUGUCAGUUCCUACUUUGCCAAUACUGUUAGCACAUUUCUUUUAUUUUUGCCAUGGCUGAGAAGGGGUGUGAGCUGCACAGAAAUGAAAAGAUUAAUAUAACUGGGGGCAUGCAGUCCUACGGCUCUGGAGUGAGCAGCUCCAUGUUUGUGCAGCAUGUGGGAAAGCUGCAGUCUGGACGUCCUGAACGUGAACGCUGCAGCUCAGCUCAGUGUGUGUCAGCCUCUGUCUGCAAGCAAACCCUCCCCGGCCAAAGGCCGAAGGCCAAAGGCCAAAUCCCAAAUCCCAAAUCCCAAAUCCCCGCCUCCAUUGCUAACAUCAGAGCACAGCAAGCCGUACGUGUGCAGAAGCAUCCCAGAUUCCUAUUGCUCUGUAGCGGUGCGCUAAAGAGGGCCUCGGUCCUACAGCCUCACGGCAGGAACUUGGCAAACAAGGAGCUUCUCACGGGACUGCUCACUUGCAUCCACUGCCAUCGCAUCCACAGCCCGCAGCCCGCAGCCCGCAGCCGUCGGGUGAAGCCCUCAAGAGUACAACGGAGGUCGAGUGCUGAAAGCACGGGAGAGUUCCCGCAGCAACUGCUGCUAACAGCAGACGCUCCCAGCAACUCCAAGGAAGCCCUGAGAGCCCCGAGCCGUGCCCCAGGACCGCUUCCUCUCUCGAUUCACCGCCACCGCCACGGGAAAAGCAGACGGGAAAAGGGCACCGACGAAAGCUGCCGAUCGCGUUCACGACGGAGGCACUGCCGGCACUCGGGAGGACGGGAGAGCCCGGGGCUACUCGGCUCGAAGCGCUUCCCGCCCGCCCCGUUUCCC
Molecule: long non-coding RNA, 1630 nt
Organism: Gallus gallus (chicken)
Lineage: Eukaryota; Metazoa; Chordata; Aves; Galliformes; Phasianidae
Source: Ensembl